This 1000-nucleotide small RNA is filed under the name uncultured Actinomycetales bacterium. RNAcentral's name for it is "bacterial SSU rRNA". The stretch from base 1 to 490 matches the Rfam family "Bacterial small subunit ribosomal RNA", at positions 1048 to 1533 of the family's 1533-position model. Lineage: Bacteria; Bacillati; Actinomycetota; Actinomycetes; Actinomycetales. The record is from RNAcentral.
GCUGUCGUCAGCUCGUGUCGUGAGAUGUUGGGUUAAGUCCCGCAACGAGCGCAACCCUCGUUCUAUGUUGCCAGCGGGUUAUGCCGGGGACUCAUAGGAGACUGCCGGGGUCAACUCGGAGGAAGGUGGGGAUGACGUCAAAUCAUCAUGCCCCUUAUGUCUUGGGCUUCACGCAUGCUACAAUGGCCAGUACAAAGGGCUGCGAUACCGCAAGGUGGAGCGAAUCCCAAAAAACUGGUCUCAGUUCGGAUUGGGGUCUGCAACUCGACCCCAUGAAGUCGGAGUCGCUAGUAAUCGCAGAUCAGCAACGCUGCGGUGAAUACGUUCCCGGGCCUUGUACACACCGCCCGUCAAGUCACGAAAGUCGGUAACACCCGAAGCCGGUGGCCUAACCCCUUGUGGGAGGGAGCCGUCGAAGGUGGGGCCGGCGAUUGGGACGAAGUCGUAACAAGGUAGCCGUACCGGAAGGUGCGGCUGGAUCACCUCCUUUCUAAGGAGCAACUGGCGUUCAGUCUUUGACUGGGCGUCCAUUGGCUGUUUCUCAGGCGAAUGUCCUGGGGCAGCCUGCUCAUUAGUGGAGCACUGGUUAUUCAGCUGGUUUCAUCAGCCAACGUCGUUAGUACACCUGCACUUGUGCGGGAGGAACGCGGGCCGCGGGGGUGAACUGGCUGGGCACGCUGUUGGGUCCUGAGGGAGCAGACGCUGUUUGGGUCUGUCCUUCUGGACUGGACCGGCAUUCCGCCGAACGGCCCCGGUCACACUUUCUGGUUCUGCCAGCUGGUGUGGUUACCGGGGUACGCGGCGGUCUGGGUGCCGGGACCGCCCGUACUUUGAGAACUGCAUAGUGGACGCGAGCAUCAUCUGUAGUAGCCAAGUUACUAAGGGCACACGGUGGAUGCCUUGGCACCAGGAGCCGAAGAAGGACGUAGGAGCCUGCGAUAAUCCUCGGGGAGCCGGCAACCAGGCUGUGAUCCGAGGGUCUCCGAAUGGGGAAACCCGG